This 240-nucleotide ribosomal RNA is filed under the name uncultured eukaryote. RNAcentral describes it as "partial 18S ribosomal RNA". It matches the Rfam family "Eukaryotic small subunit ribosomal RNA", at positions 1208 to 1456 of the family's 1831-position model. The record is from RNAcentral.
GGGAACCUCACCAGGCCCGGACACUGGAAGGAUUGACAGAUUGAUAGCUCUUUCUUGAUUCGGUGGGUGGUGGUGCAUGGCCGUUCUUAGUUGGUGGAGCGAUCUGUCUGGUUAAUUCCGAUAACGAACGAGACCCCAACCUGCUAACUAGCCCUCGGGUCCUGCUUCUGUUGGGCCCGACGGAAUGAUUCGCUUCUUAGAGGGACUCGCGGCGCCUAGCCGCACGAAGGGGGGCGAUAA